GUGGAUUACUUUUUGAGUAAUGACAGGUAGGAUUGCCGUCAUUAGUGGACCUUUUUAGUUAAGAAGUUUCAACCCCAUCAUACUCGAAGUAUACGCCACUAAAUCUCUAUUUAGUGCUUUAGUUAAAGGAUCCGCUAAAUUCUCUAUUGUCCUUACAUAAUUUAGGAAAAUUAUUCCAUCUUUGAUUAAUUUCCUUAUGUAGUCAUGUCUCGACUCAUAUGUCUAGACUUUCCAUUGUAUACCUCGUUAUAUGCAUUUGUUAACAUGGCUUGACUAUCACACAUGAUAGGUAUUGAAGAGAUAUUCUUCAAUUCCAAAGGUAUCUCAUAUAAGAGAUCCUUAAGCCACUCAGCCUCUUUCCCGGUAUUCGAUAAAGCCACAAAUUCAGAUUUCAUGGUCGAGUGUGUUAUACAUGUUUGUUUCUUUGAUUUCCAAGAAACAGCACCUCCUCCAAGAGUGAAUACCCAGUCCAAAGUGGAUUUACUUUCAUCCGUGCUAGAUAUCCAACUAGUAUCGGUAAAUCCUUCCAAUAUCAUCGGGAAUUGUAGGCCCAAGUUCUUGGUUUUCUUUAAGUAUCCAAGAACUUUCACAAUAGCCUUCCAAUGAUCAUUACUCGGUUUACUAGUAAACUUACUAAGUUUACUUAUUGCAUAAGCUAUAUCCAGUCUUGUG
RNAcentral lists this long non-coding RNA (672 nucleotides) under Olea europaea subsp. europaea. Lineage: Eukaryota; Viridiplantae; Streptophyta; Magnoliopsida; Lamiales; Oleaceae. The record is from RNAcentral.